This 495-nucleotide ribosomal RNA is filed under the name uncultured bacterium. RNAcentral's name for it is "partial 16S ribosomal RNA". It matches the Rfam family "Bacterial small subunit ribosomal RNA", at positions 28 to 507 of the family's 1533-position model. The record is from RNAcentral.
GACGAACGCUGGCGGCGUGCCUAAUACAUGCAAGUAGAACGCUGAAGGAGGAGCUUGCUCUUCUGGAUGAGUUGCGAACGGGUGAGUAACGCGUAGGUAACCUGCCUGGUAGCGGGGGAUAACUAUUGGAAACGAUAGCUAAUACCGCUUAAUAGUAGAUGUUGCAUGAUAUUUACUUAAAAGGUGCAAUUGCACCACUACCAGAUGGACCUGCGUUGUAUUAGCUAGUUGGUGGGGUAACGGCUCACCAAGGCGACGAUACAUAGCCGACCUGAGAGGGUGAUCGGCCACACUGGGACUGAGACACGGCCCAGACUCCUACGGGAGGCAGCAGUAGGGAAUCUUCGGCAAUGGACGAAAGUCUGACCGAGCAACGCCGCGUGAGUGAAGAAGGUUUUCGGAUCGUAAAGCUCUGUUGUAAGAGAAGAACGAGUGUGAGAGUGGAAAGUUCACACUGUGACGGUAUCUUACCAGAAAGGGACGGCUAACUACGUG